This 468-nucleotide ribosomal RNA is filed under the name uncultured bacterium. RNAcentral describes it as "partial 16S ribosomal RNA". It matches the Rfam family "Bacterial small subunit ribosomal RNA", at positions 28 to 507 of the family's 1533-position model. The record is from RNAcentral.
GACGAACGCUGGCGGCGGGCUUAACACAUGCAAGUCGAACGGAAAGGCCCUGCUUUUGUGGGGUGCUCGAGUGGCGAACGGGUGAGUAACACGUGAGUAACCUGCCCUUGACUUUGGGAUAACUUCAGGAAACUGGGGCUAAUACCGGAUAGGAGCUCCUGCUGCAUGGUGGGGGUUGGAAAGUUUCGGCGGUUGGGGAUGGACUCGCGGCUUAUCAGCUUGUUGGUGGGGUAGUGGCUUACCAAGGCUUUGACGGGUAGCCGGCCUGAGAGGGUGACCGGCCACAUUGGGACUGAGAUACGGCCCAGACUCCUACGGGAGGCAGCAGUGGGGAAUAUUGCCCAAUGGGCGCAAGCCUCAUGCAGCAACGCCGCGUGCGGGAUGACGGCCUUCGGGUUGUAAACCGCUUUCGCCUGUGACGAAGCGUGAGUGACGGUAAUGGGUAAAGAAGCACCGGCUCCCUACGUG